GAGCGACGGUGAGGGCCGCGCUCCGCAGCCCUGUGAGGCGCUGAGGGGCGCCUGCCUCCCCUCCGCCCCUCUGCCGGCGAGCGGCAGUUCGCAGGGAUCGUUACUAACGUCCCCGAGGCAGCCCAUGUCCUCACAAGCCUUCCUUGCCCCGGUGGCUUCGAGCACGCGGAGACGUAGCCGGCGGUGAGGCGGUGCGACGCCUGCCCGGGGACUUCUGUCUCUGACGCGUCCAGUCAUCUCGCACGUGGACAGAGAUCACAGGGGCAGCCAGCACUGCCUGUAGAGAUGCGCAAGAACAGGAUAUUCAGCACUCAUUCCCCUGUCCUCCGUGCUUCCAGGAACAUCUCUGCAAAGGACUGGAAUAUCUUUAAGAAAGCUCAGUCUGAACUGACACCAAAGCUCGGCCCCUGCACUGAUCAAAACUUUGCUACCAGAGGUAGAUCCUGAUGAGCUGCUGCAGCAGAGCAUCUGAAAAGUGGACUUUACCAACUUGAAUGCAAGAACUUCAGUGCAAAAAGGAAGACAUUCCCGGAGACUUGUGACUGCAGCCAAAUAUAGGCUUACUACCGAGGCUGAGUACCUUCUGGAAACUCACAAGCAAUACUGUAUUCCUUCAGAAGAAAAAGAAGUAAACUUAAAGGGCUGAAAGGCACACAUGCACACAAAAGGAAUGAGGAAGAUGGCUACAGAAGGGAUCACAAAAAACAAGCAAAAAUACUUUUAAAAGAACCAUGCAACAAGCACACCUGCAUUUUAAUCCUGUGAGAGGAAACGGGUCCAGGGCCUCCUCAGAGACAGCGACAAGUGCGUAGCUCAUCAGGAAGAGCCUGUCCUGCCUGCAUCCAACCUCCUGCCUCUGUGAAUCAGGGCAGGGAUGCAAGAAAUGGAGCAGAGCUCUUCAGAGACGCUGCCAGGCCAGAGCAGGACACUGGUACCUCAUUUAUGGCGAGGAGAGAGAGGACCACAGCGCGUGCAGAGUUCCCACAGCAAGCAGCUCCAACUACGCUUAUUCCUUCCUUCCCCAACUCCUAACUAACAGGAGGUAAGGUAUAAAAGCAAUGUUUUCCAUGACAGUAUCUUUUCAUUUUUCUUCUUUUUUGUCCUAUUCUCUGUGGGAGAUUAUGCUUAAAGUGCCCAGAGCUUCAAAGCAUCUCCUCAGGGAGAAAUUCCCUCCACCUCCCUAUUCUUUUUGUUCCCACUCUGCCUCUUGUUCUGGUGCUACUCUCCAUUGUGCACGCAUCCUUCCUCAUCCCUCUUUUCCCCUUGUGGCUCCAAACUAUUUCCUUCAUGCAAUUCCUUCCUCUGAUUACCUCCUACCCUUGGGUUCCUCUGCUUAUCUACUCUAGGAACAGACUGGGAUUGAAAAUGGCUUCAGCUCUCCCAGAGAUCUCCCAGCUCUCUACCCACUCCCAUAUCUCUAGAGCCGGAAAAAUACCAAAAUGAAUGUAUUCUGCCUUUCUGUUUCACAAAUCUAAUUCAUUCCGAUUCUCCCCAAGAAAACAGCUAGUCUUUUUUUUUUUUUUUUUCUUCACAUAAACUAACAUAUUGUAUUAAUUUGGUGUAUGAGCUGCUUUUUAGAAAUGGACUGUGUGAACGCACAUGCAGAAUGAAUCAGCCGUGAGUGAUUCACAGGCUUUAAAGGAAAACCUUAACAACGCGCUCCGAGGCCGAAUGUCUCCAUAUCUCCAGGCCAUUUAGCCUAAUCAGGGAAAACUCUGGGGUUACUGCUCUGUUUGCUCUUGGGGAAGCACGUUGUGUCGCGUGCUGAACCUUCCGCUGAGCCUUCUAACACAAGUGAAAUGCACGAGUUAAAUGUGCUUCAUGCGUCAAAGACUUGACGGUCAGCGUCUUUAAUUCUAUACUGUAAUAGUAAAUAAGUGAAUUGGGACAGUCCGUGUUAAGACUGACA
Molecule: non-coding RNA, 1909 nt
Organism: Struthio camelus australis
Lineage: Eukaryota; Metazoa; Chordata; Aves; Struthioniformes; Struthionidae
Source: RefSeq, a predicted model, not a curated record